UCGUAGUUGGAUACGAAUAGGCCUUCGGGCAUGCACCUCAGCAGGCUGGCGACGGCUCCCGGGGAGAAACCCUCGAGAGCUGGCUAGCGGAUUGUAAUGUCACCUCGCGCGGGGAUAGAUCCUCUGCAGACGACUUAUGUGACCAAGCGGGUCGUGUAAGCGGUCAAGUAGCCUUGUUGCUACGAGUCGCUGAGCGUCACCCGACCUUGGCUAGAUUU
Molecule: ribosomal RNA, 218 nt
Filed under: Penicillium janthinellum
Lineage: Eukaryota; Fungi; Ascomycota; Eurotiomycetes; Eurotiales; Aspergillaceae
Description: partial 28S large subunit ribosomal RNA
Rfam family: Eukaryotic large subunit ribosomal RNA
Source: RNAcentral